CACGUAGGCACCAAGCGUUAUCCGGAUUUAUUGGGCGUAAAGAGCUCGUAGGCGGUUCGGUAAGUCGGGUGUGAAAACUCUGGGCUCAACCCAGAGAGGCCACCCGAUACUGCUGUGACUAGAGUGCGGUAGGGGAGCGGGGAAUUCCUGGUGUAGCGGUGAAAUGCGCAGAUAUCAGGAGGAACACCAGCGGCGAAGGCGCCGCUCUGGGCCGUAACUGACGCUGAGGAGCGAAAGCAUGGGUAGCAAA
This 250-nucleotide ribosomal RNA is filed under the name uncultured bacterium. Its description in RNAcentral is "partial 16S ribosomal RNA". It matches the Rfam family "Bacterial small subunit ribosomal RNA", at positions 524 to 772 of the family's 1533-position model. The record is from RNAcentral.